GAUGAAGAACGUAGCGAAAUGCGAUAAGUAGUGUGAAUUGCAGAAUUCAGUGAAUCAUCGAAUCUUUGAACGCACAUUGCGCCCCUUGGUAUUCCGAGGGGCAUGCCUAUUCGAGCGUCAUUAUCACCCCUCAAGCCUAGCUUGGUGUUGAGGCCUGCUGUCAAGGCAGCCUCUAAAAUCAGUGGCAGUGCUGUCAGGCUCUAAGCGUAGUAAAUCUAAUCGCUAUAGACACCUGGUGGACACUCGCCAGAACCCCCCCCAUUUUUUAAUGAUUGACCUCGGAUUAGGUAGGGAUACCCGCUGAACUUAAGCAUAUCAAUAAGCGGAGGA
This 330-nucleotide unclassified non-coding RNA is filed under the name soil metagenome. RNAcentral describes it as "partial contains 5.8S ribosomal RNA, internal transcribed spacer 2, and large subunit ribosomal RNA". The stretch from base 1 to 120 matches the Rfam family "5.8S ribosomal RNA", at positions 35 to 154 of the family's 154-position model. The record is from RNAcentral.